UCCCUGGUGGCUUACAUGGUAAAGCAUCUGUCUGCAACACAGGAGAUCUGGGUUCAAUCCCUGGGUUGGGAA
This 72-nucleotide transfer RNA is filed under the name Bos taurus (domestic cattle). It matches the Rfam family "tRNA". From Rfam's summary of the family: Transfer RNA (tRNA) molecules are approximately 80 nucleotides in length. Their secondary structure includes four short double-helical elements and three loops (D, anti-codon, and T loops). The record is from Rfam by way of RNAcentral. RNAcentral also lists the same sequence under 2 other names. Lineage: Eukaryota; Metazoa; Chordata; Mammalia; Artiodactyla; Bovidae.